RNAcentral lists this unclassified non-coding RNA (312 nucleotides) under plant metagenome. Its description in RNAcentral is "partial contains 5.8S ribosomal RNA, internal transcribed spacer 2, and large subunit ribosomal RNA". The stretch from base 1 to 105 matches the Rfam family "5.8S ribosomal RNA", at positions 50 to 154 of the family's 154-position model. The record is from RNAcentral.
GAAAUGCGAUAAGUAAUGUGAAUUGCAGAAUUCCGUGAAUCAUCGAAUCUUUGAACGCACAUUGCGCCCUCUGACAUUCCGGGGGGCAUGCCUGUCCGAGCGUCAUUACGCACCCUCAAGCCCGGCUUGUGUGAUGGGCCCUGGCGUCUCGUUCGCGAGACGGGCCCGAAAGGCAGCGGCGGCGUCGACCCGAUGAGCCCGAGCGUAUGGGGACUUUUGUCACACGUUUGCGGUGCGGACCGGCGCCUGCUUGACUUUUCUGAUUAUCCAGGUUGACCUCGGAUCAGGUAGGGAUACCCGCUGAACUUAAGC